GCUUGUCUCAAAGAUUAAGCCAUGCAUGUCUUAGUGUAAAUAACUCUUAUGAAACUGCGAAUGGCUCAUUAAAUCAGUUAUCAAAUACGUGAUGGUCGCCUACUACAUGGAUAACCGUGGUAAAUCUAUGGCUAAUACAUGCGCAAAGGCCCGACCCUGAAGGGCUGUAUUUAUUAGAUCUAACCAUCAUUUGGUGAAUCAUAGUAACUGAUCGGACCGUGCGUUAGCGCGGUAAAUCGUUCAAGUUUCUGCCCUAUCAGCUUUCGAUGGUAGUGUAUUGGACUACCAUGGCAGUCACGGGUAACGGAGAAUUAGGGUUCGGUUCCGGAGAGGGAGCCUGAGAAACGGCUACCACAUCUAAGGAAGGCAGCAGG
This 374-nucleotide ribosomal RNA is filed under the name uncultured Peniculida. RNAcentral's name for it is "partial small subunit ribosomal RNA". It matches the Rfam family "Eukaryotic small subunit ribosomal RNA", at positions 30 to 432 of the family's 1831-position model. The record is from RNAcentral. Lineage: Eukaryota; Ciliophora; Oligohymenophorea; Peniculida.